ACAUGAUGUAGUUUUUACCCAAGUUACCACAUAUUGAAGUAGUAGUAUGUACAAAAUUAGGAAAUUGCUCUGUUUUCAUAUAUUGUUAUUAGUCUCAAACAAUCACACAACUAUGUUUGUUUGUGUUGUUACCAUCAUAACAUUUUGCAUAGCUAGAGCAUUACUAGUACCCAUCGGAAUAUGGCCGUUAUCGUUACUGUUUUUCUCAGUCUUCUUUAAUUCUUUCAGUUCUCUCGCCCUCGCUCUCCAGUUCCAGAAAGUUCCAAACAAUGUUUCCAUUUCUUCUAGAGUCUUCCCUUGAGUUUCCGGCAUCAAUGUGUAGAAAAACACCAACGCCACCGCCGCUAAGGCGGCGUACAAGAAGAACGCAGCUCCGAUUGUUAUCGCCUUUUCUAGGGACAAAAACGUCAUUGAAACUACUCCACUUGUUACUCUGUUCACUGCUACCCCUAUACUGCAUCCAGUUGCCCGGAGCCUCAACGGGAAUAUCUCCGAACUGUAAACCCACGUUAUCGGACCCAUACCGAUUGAGAAAAGCGCCACGUAAGCUAACACCAUUGCUAUGCAGAGUGCUAUUGCCCAAAUUAAUUUCUGUUCUGAGUGUUCGAUAAUUGUGAGGCCUGUCGCGAGAAGCACCAACGACGCCACCAUUCCGCCGACACUGGUUAAUAGCAACCGCCGACGACCGGAUCUGUCAAGCAUAAAUGUGGCUACUAGAAUGAACAAUGUUUUGACUACUCCGACGGCGACGGUGCAGAGCAACUUGUCGUGAUCGGACUUGAUCCCGGCUUUUUCAAAAAUCUUCGGGCUGUACAAAACAACAGCGUCAAUUCCACUUGCUUGCUGGAAAAAAUGGAUUCCUACACCGGUGAUUAAGAUGUGUCGGACGGCCGGCGUCGGAGAGAAGACCAAUUCCUUCCAUACGUUAUCUCCUGUAGGGCGUUUUGGUACUUCGACAAUGUCGUCGUUGCAGUUCUCCGGUAUGCCGGCGGCUUGUUUGAUAUCGGCGAGUCUGAAUUGAGCUUCUUGUAAGGAAUCAGAUGUUUUGUUGAGAACUCGCCUUGCAUCGCCGAGUCGACCUUGCAUAACUAACCAACGCGGUGACUCCGGCAUGGCCAGAACACUAACGGCCAAGAAUACCGAUGGGAUUGCUCCGAUUCCGAGCAUGAAUCGCCAACUCAGGUGAGUUGAAAGUUUUGAAAACACCACGUUAGAUACAUAUCCCAUCAAUAUACCGAAAUUAAUGAAUACUUCGGGGAAGGAAGUAAGAAAACCGCGAGAUGACGCCGGCGAGACUUCAGCUGUGUAAACCGGAGCAACCAUGAGAGCGUACCCAACUCCGACUCCGGCGACGAAUCGACCAAACAUGAGAAAGGCGUAAGUUGUAGCAAAACCCAUCAAGAGAGCUCCGGCGAAGAAAAUCGCGGCAGCCACCACCAUAGUGUACCGGCGGCCAAUCCAAUCGGAGGUCCGACCAGCGGCGGCGGAACCAAAGAGCGAGUAAACAUUGAGGAUUCCAACUAGAAUCUCAACUUGUACAUCAGUAAUAUGGAGAUCUUUCUUAAUAUAGAGGAUUGCUCCACUCAUUACACCAAUAUCA
Molecule: unclassified non-coding RNA, 1600 nt
Filed under: Hevea brasiliensis (rubber tree)
Lineage: Eukaryota; Viridiplantae; Streptophyta; Magnoliopsida; Malpighiales; Euphorbiaceae
Source: RNAcentral